This 1107-nucleotide ribosomal RNA is filed under the name Prosadenoporus spectaculum. RNAcentral describes it as "16S ribosomal RNA". The stretch from base 748 to 1056 matches the Rfam family "Bacterial large subunit ribosomal RNA", at positions 2079 to 2642 of the family's 2925-position model. Lineage: Eukaryota; Metazoa; Nemertea; Enopla; Monostilifera; Prosorhochmidae. The record is from RNAcentral.
UAAAUUUUGUUGAAAUAUUUAUUUUGAUUUUUAGAAAUAUUUUUUUUUAAUAGUUUUAAAUUUUUGUUUAGUUAUUACCGGAAGGGGGUGAGUAGUUUGUAAAAAGAUGAGGUGAAACUGUUGUAAUACCUUUUGUAUCAUGGUUGGACUAAGAAAAGUGUUUAUUUUAGUUUCUAGAAAAAAAAAGAAACUUAAAUGAUGUUAAAAAGAACUUCAGAGUAGUUGUUUUAUUAACUUUCUUAUACUUUUAGGUUGAAAUGAGAUGUUUCGGUUUUUUUGAUAGCUAGUUGCUUCUUAAAUCUUUUUAGAGAUUUAGAAAGAGGGUAAUCUUUUUUCUUUUGAAGAAAUGUUUGUAUUUAUUUUAUAUUUAGGAUUAGAAGUCUUUUUAAUUAAUGAAUGUGUAAUAACUUAUAAUUGGUUUCUUUUUUUUCUGUUUUGGGAAGUUGUUUAUAGAACUUUUUUUUAAAAGAAAGAAUGUUUAAAUUAGUAUUUGUGUUUUUUUCCUUUUUAUGAAUUCGGCAAUAAAAGGUUUGACUGUUUUCAAAAACAUAGUUUUUUGGUGUUUUAAUAAAAAAUGUUUUCUGCUCGGUGAUUUUAAACAGCCGCGGUAAUUUGACCGUGCAAAGGUAGCAUAAUCAUUUGCUCUAUAAUUGAGGGCUAGUAUGAAUGGAAUUACAAAGUCUUUGCUUUAUUAAAAGGAAAGAGAGAACUUGCUUUUUUGGUGAAGAAGCUAGAAUUUUUUUAUGGGACAAGAAGACCCUUUUGAGCUUUAUUAAAUAAUUUCUUUUUUAGAUGUGCUUAAUUUGGUUGGGGCGACCAAGGAAGAAUGAUCUUCCUUUUUUUAUUCUGAUCCAAAGGUUUUGAUUAAUAGAAUAAGUUACCAAAGGGAUAACAGCGUAAUUUUUUUUGUGAGUUCUUAUUAAAAGAAAAGAUUGCGACCUCGAUGUUGACUUAUAGUUUCCUUUUGGUGCAGUAGCUAAAAUGGUGGGUCUGUUCGACCUUUAAAACUUUACGUGAGUUGAGUUCAGACCGGUGUGAGCCAGGUUGGUUUCUAUCUUUAAUUUUUUAUAAAGUUUUUUAGUACGAAAGGAUUAAAAACUUUUUUGU